Molecule: ribosomal RNA, 677 nt
Filed under: uncultured Staphylococcus sp.
Lineage: Bacteria; Bacillati; Bacillota; Bacilli; Caryophanales; Staphylococcaceae
Description: bacterial SSU rRNA
Rfam family: Bacterial small subunit ribosomal RNA
Source: RNAcentral
GUCGAGCGAACAGACGAGGAGCUUGCUCCUCUGACGUUAGCGGCGGACGGGUGAGUAACACGUGGAUAACCUACCUAUAAGACUGGGAUAACUUCGGGAAACCGGAGCUAAUACCGGAUAAUAUAUUGAACCGCAUGGUUCAAUAGUGAAAGACGGUUUUGCUGUCACUUAUAGAUGGAUCCGCGCCGCAUUAGCUAGUUGGUAAGGUAACGGCUUACCAAGGCAACGAUGCGUAGCCGACCUGAGAGGGUGAUCGGCCACACUGGAACUGAGACACGGUCCAGACUCCUACGGGAGGCAGCAGUAGGGAAUCUUCCGCAAUGGGCGAAAGCCUGACGGAGCAACGCCGCGUGAGUGAUGAAGGUCUUCGGAUCGUAAAACUCUGUUAUUAGGGAAGAACAAAUGUGUAAGUAACUAUGCACGUCUUGACGGUACCUAAUCAGAAAGCCACGGCUAACUACGUGCCAGCAGCCGCGGUAAUACGUAGGUGGCAAGCGUUAUCCGGAAUUAUUGGGCGUAAAGCGCGCGUAGGCGGUUUUUUAAGUCUGAUGUGAAAGCCCACGGCUCAACCGUGGAGGGUCAUUGGAAACUGGAAAACUUGAGUGCAGAAGAGGAAAGUGGAAUUCCAUGUGUAGCGGUGAAAUGCGCAGAGAUAUGGAGGAACACCAGUGGCGAAG